GCUGCCUGAUUUAUGACGCCCUCUCUCUCUAUCUCUCGCUCAGGCCCCUGCAAGCUCUCGGCAGAGACUCAGUCUAAUCAAUUUUCUAUUUUUUUUUUUUCAAAAUUUUAAAAUUCUCCCACGAAUUUAGAGAGGCUUUUUACGUAAAGGAUAAAAGGUAAAGACAGGGUUUUUUUUCCCGCAAUGGUGUGAAUGGAAUCCGAGAAAAAGAGAGAGAAAGUUUGGGAAAGAGAGAGAAAGUCUGAGAGAGAGUUCCGUGGGUGAACGUGAUUCGUGGAAGCCAUCUUUAUCUGAUGCAUUUGCGCGUGAAGGGAUUGGUGGGAAGCAGUGGGUUUUUCUUUUUUUUGCCAUGCAUCUUUGAUGUUAUCCACAGCCACAGCCACAGCCCACAGGCCUGUAACUCUCUUCUCACUCUCCUCUCUUUCAUGCAUUUGUUGUUUUAUUUAUUUAUUUUAUUAUUAUUCUAUUCCUUUUCUAGAACCCAUAUCACCAUUGUCUUUGUUUUCACUUGGAAAUUAGGUUACCUACACCAUUUUCUUUUAUCAUAUAUGUACAUAUGUUGCAAUGGUUGGAAAAUUCUCAAAAACCCAUAUUUAAUUUUCAAUUUUUCUUCAAAUUUUGUGGGGGAUUUUACUUUAAAGUGCAUAUUUGAGAUGGGUUUGUAUUUUAAAGCAUAAAAGUUUGACGAGUUUGGGGCUAUUUAAUUAUUUGGACAUUGAUUUCAUUGACACUUUCAACUUUUGACAGAAUUUCACAUUAGGGUUUUGAUAUUGGAAGAGUUUUUAAAUCCUUGGCUUCUCCCAAGUGAAGCUUCCCAAGCCAUAAGUCACAUACUGGUUUGAUUGAUACUUUAAAUUUGGUAUUUGCAAAGAGUUUUUGUUUUUCUUGUAAAAAUUAGGAAAGUUCUGAACCAUAGACCAGGCCAAAGUGGAGACUCUCAAGGCUUAACCCAAGCUAACAUGCCAUUGAUUUGAUUGAUACCACAAAUUUGAAAGUGGGUUUACUCAAAUUUGAAGUUUGAGAAGGGUUUGUUCUUUUAUGGGGAUUGUUUAAAAAUUGUAGUGUUGGGGUAAAAUGCUAAUACUUUCUCCCUGUGCACACAGCAAGUUCAUGCUUGCAAAGAGUGUCAGAUUGCAACUUUACAUAUAAAAAAUUUGUUUUAAUCCAAUACAUAGUUGUUCUGUUUAUGGAUAAUAUUACAGCAGUGAAAAUGUACCCUUUUCUCAAGGUUGCAUUUUCACUGUUUGUUGCUGCCUGAAAGCUCUGCUAAUAGACUCAGAAGCCAUGCCUCUGCCACCACCAAUUAGUAGUAAAAGAGAAAAUAUAUGAAGUGAAACUAAUGUUUCAUAAGAAAAAGGCAGUAGGAAAGGGAAAGAGAGAGGAUGGUAUGGAGCAUUUCUGUCUUUAACAUGCUGUGAAAUGCCUUUACAAAAGGUCCAAGUUCUCUGUUUCAUGAACACAGACUCAACAUUUUUAUAUAUAUGCAUUUUCUUUAUAUUGGGGGAAAUAAAAAACAGAGAGAAGGUUACAACAGUAAUGGAGAUUCUUCUGUCAGUCUCUAUAGCCUUUUGCUGACGUUUUUUUAAGAGUCUGGUCCCAUAGUACAAGCUUGCAGGCUAGAUGUGAGAAUGCCCCAUCAAACAUUCUGUGCCCAAAAUGCCCUCUAGAUGUAUAUUUUCGGUAGUAGUUACUGGUAAAUGAGGAAAUAUUCCUGAGGAUUCAUAGCAAUUAACCUUUUAGAUGUUACUGCCUUAGAAAUUCACCGGUUGUUGUCACCUUCUCCUUCACAUGGCUUUCUCUAUUAUUUUUGGAAGCUUCUUAUGUGUUUCUGUGAUCAUCAUCAUCAUCCUCUAACCAACUAAGCGAUUAGGAUUGAGGACUUGCUGCUACCCUUCACUUAUCAUAGCAUUUGAAUUCUGUAAUCAAAUGGUGCUCAAACUAUAAGCAGUGAUCCUAAACCCCUUCAUCGGACCUAAAACUGAUUGCCGCCAAUAAAAUCAGACAAAAGCUAGUUGAGUUGUGGUGGUUAGAAUUGCUGUAUGAUUGUUGGUUCUGCAUUAUGUGGGAUGAUACUCCCGUUACUUUUUAAAAAAAACACAAUAUCAUGUCUUAAUUUUUCCUUCUAAAAAUUGAGAGUGAUUCUGGAUUGUAUAUUGUCAAUUAUUUCAAUCGGGUGGGGGGUUACAAGUUUGGAUUGUGUAUUUUGUGUCAAUAUGGUGAGAUGAUAAUAGUAUUUUAAGUGUAGUGAAAAAGGGAAGGAAAGGAAAGGAAAUCUAGGGACCCUUGUAACUACCCAUUUAAAGCAGGUAAUGAAAUGGUAACAACCUAUGCUUUGCCAAAACAGGGAAAAAUCCAAAAGAAUUUAAAAACCCUAGACCAUCAGCCAGCUAUUUAUAACACCCAUGAGACCCCUCUGGACUCCGGAUCAGCCUCUGCCCCUGCAUUUUGUACUUUGCCUCUCAGGAAAGGAAAAAAAAGUAACAAACCACAUUCUCCCAACCGACCUUCUCUCUUUAACAUUCCAUUUUUCCACCACCCUGUUUGGUUUGAGAGAAAAAAGAAGAGAGGGCGGGAGAGGGAGGGAGAUGAGGGGUCGAUCUUCAAAGCAAGGUGGCAAAGAAGGAAUGGACAUAGACAAGAUUCAUAAGCUGAAAGAAGAGCCUCAUCUCUCUGGAGCUUAUAUUCGUAGCCUUGUUAAACAACUAACCUCUUCAAGAACCAAGGACCCCAUGAACCCCAAAGACUCGGAUACUGUUGAUGGGGAUGGCUUUUCUGGCCAAAACAUCGCUAAAUUCGGCGAAGGUUUUGGUGAAAAUCAGCAGGCCCAUCAAACCCAACAACCCCAACAACACAAAAAACAAGUUAGGAGGAGACUUCACACCAGUAGGCCUUAUCAAGAAAGGCUCCUAAACAUGGCUGAGGCAAGGAGAGAGAUUGUCACUGCACUUAAGUUCCACAGAGCUGCAAUGAAACAAGCCAAUGAACAGCAGCAACAGCAGCAGCAGCAACAACAACAACAACAAUCCCCGCCGCUUCAAUCUCCUCCUCAACCAUCUUUGGAGCCGGAAGCAAAAAUAAAAUCUAGAAGAAAUCCUAGGAUAUACCCUUCAAGCACUGCCAAUUUCUCCAAUUAUCUAGACAGCCUCUCUUACUCAUCUUUCUCCUGUGCCCCUCCAAACCCUUACUCCUGGUCUGCAUCUCCAAGUGCUCCACCACCCCCUCCUCUUUCCGAUAAUAUUAACUUUGCUCUCCCUAACCAAACCUUAGGCCUGAAUCUCAAUUUUCAUGAUUUCAACAACCUGGAUGCCUCCCUGUACCACACCACCAACAACCCAUCAUCAAUCUACUCAUCCUCAUCUCCCUCAUCGUCUUCUUCCCCCACACUUUCCAUUGCCACGGAGGAGGUUCGAUGCUUUGCAACAUCACAGGAGGGCCCUCCAGUGGUUGCUGCAGACUCUAGUGUCAUGACCGGAGGAGGGUUUCAUCCAGCGAUGGAUGAUGAGGAGAUGGCUGAGAUCAGGUGGAUAGGAGAGCAGCACCAGAUGGAAUGGAACGAUAACUUGAAUUUGGCGACAUCAGCAUGGUGGUUCAAGUUCUUGAAGGCCAUGGAAAUUGGCCCAGAAGCCACAAAUGUAGAAGAUGAUGGAUACCAUCCCUUUGAUGAAGUCAUGGAUUAUCCAGCUUGGUUGAGUGGGAAUGAGAGCUGCUUGGUUCCACGUUUGGAUGACUGCUGCUCAAUGGACUACUUGCAAGAUCCAGCCUUGCCUUGUCAAGGAUAAAGUAGGGAUAGUUUUGGUGGUUGCAGUGUUUGAAGAUGAUGUAGGUUCAAUGGAGAGAUGAUAUAUGGGUGGGUAGUGGUUGGAUUGACAAAGGAUAUAUAGUUGUGGUGGGUUUUGAUUAAAACUUGGAUGGUGAUCCUCUGUGAAGAAGUUUUCACAACAAAAAUGAUACUGUUUGUAGAAAUGGCGGGGUGAAGGUGGUGGAAAUAUAGUUCUAGUUGAUGCAACAACCAUAGAUUUACCAUUGGCAAUGGUAGCCUCCUCUGACAAUGAAUCAGAGGUCCUGAAUUCCACCCGUCUCGAUAUUUAAACGAUGUAGCAUGGAGCAUGGACAUUGGAGAAAUUGAAGGAAUGGAUGGGGAGUGGCUAGCCUGAGAGAUUGA
Vitis vinifera (wine grape) is the source of this 4162-nucleotide RNA transcript. RefSeq lists it as uncharacterized. Lineage: Eukaryota; Viridiplantae; Streptophyta; Magnoliopsida; Vitales; Vitaceae. The transcript is spliced from 3 exons. The record is from RefSeq and is a predicted model, not a curated record.